GGUUUUUUGGGGGGAGUUAUUGGUCUCUCAGAAAAGAAAAGAGGGGCUUCAAUGUUUGGAUUUUUUCA
RNAcentral lists this transfer RNA (68 nucleotides) under Dipsacus japonicus. Its description in RNAcentral is "tRNA-Thr". Lineage: Eukaryota; Viridiplantae; Streptophyta; Magnoliopsida; Dipsacales; Caprifoliaceae. The record is from RNAcentral.